CUUAUGCAACGGAAAUCUGGGACAAUGGUUGGGACCGAUCUUCAAUGAUGCAGUUUAUGCAAUAUGGGGUUUCUGACUGGGUCCAAAACUGUACUAUUUUGGUGAAUGAGUGCUUUCAGGAUAGCAGUCCUCUUCAGGUUUUAAUGAUCACUAUAUGGUGUAUCUGGAAAUGGAGGAAUGAAUUCAUUUUUCAAGGUGUUAAAGCUGUCUCUUCCAGCGCGCUUAAGCAUGCUGCGGGGUCAGAUCAGUUCCAAUAUCUCAG
RNAcentral lists this long non-coding RNA (262 nucleotides) under Jatropha curcas. RNAcentral describes it as "long non-coding RNA (JCUR_LNC000282)". The record is from RNAcentral. Lineage: Eukaryota; Viridiplantae; Streptophyta; Magnoliopsida; Malpighiales; Euphorbiaceae.